This 467-nucleotide ribosomal RNA is filed under the name uncultured bacterium. RNAcentral describes it as "partial 16S ribosomal RNA". It matches the Rfam family "Bacterial small subunit ribosomal RNA", at positions 29 to 507 of the family's 1533-position model. The record is from RNAcentral.
ACGAACGCUGGCGGCGUGCUUAACACCUGCAAGUCGCACGGAAAGGCCCUGCUUUUGUGGGGUGCUCGAGUGGCGAACGGGUGAGUAACACGUGAGUAACCUGCCCUUGACUUUGGGAUAACUUCAGGAAACUGGGGCUAAUGCCGGAUAGGAGCUCCUGCUGCAUGGUGGGGGUUGGAAAGUUUCGGCGGUUGGGGAUGGACUCGCGGCUUAUCAGCUUGUUGGUGGGGUAGUGGCUUACCAAGGCUUUGACGGGUAGCCGGCCUGAGAGGGUGACCGGCCACAUUGGGACUGAGAUACGGCCCAGACUCCUACGGGAGGCAGCAGUGGGGAAUAUUGCACAAUGGGCGGAAGCCUGAUGCAGCAACGCCGCGUGCGGGAUGACGGCCUUCGGGUUGUAAACCGCUUUCGCCUGUGACGAAGCGUGAGUGACGGUAAUGGGUAAAGAAGCACCGGCUAACUACGUG